AGUUAAGAUGCACUGAAGAGAGAUUUUUAUAGAACUCUUCUUGGUUUUAAAUAUUCUGAAAGAUUAUUCUGUUAUCUUCAGGCAGUCACUAAAAAUGAAGGUACUACAUCCAAAGAAUUGGAUAUUUGCGACAUGUUGAAGAACUUAAAAGAGUAAAUGUGAAAGGUGCAAAGUAUCUUUUGAAGAAUAAGAGCUUCCUCUUUCUAAAAGAAAACUAACCAAGCAAGAUCUUUUGUCAUGAUUCCACAUUAACAUAAUAUCAAGAAAGGAAGUCCGCAAGGUUGAGAAUGAGAGAAAGGGGUUUCCCAUAGACAACUGAUUUUUUGAACACAGGUUUCUCUCUGUGCUUUUGAGUGAAAAUGACAAAGCACCGAUCAUGCUACACUAAAAAAAAAACAGCUAUUUUUGCUGCUUCUCAGGUCAACAUUUACAUAGGAAAAUCUUUGAGAACCACUCAGCAUUUCUCCCUUCUGCUGAUAAUGGAAGUCCUAAGAGGCUCACAGGCCAGAGAGAGCUUCAACCAAACAUUGUUCAGAUGAAUACGACACUCAGGAAGCACAAGCAGAUGGAGGAAAGAAACACAAGAGAGGAAUAUUAUUAGGUUGGUGCUGUUCUAAUUUUCAUUCCUCCAUGGGACACCGAAGAUGAAUUUGAGGAUGAAAAAUGCAUUGAAGACAUUCAAUUCAUUCUUUUUGUGCUAAUCAGCAAGAAGUUAUGCUGGGUAAUAUCACCAGCCUUGCUGACUUUGAAGGUCAGUCACUCUUGUAUUUGGAGCAACUGCUUCAUCAUCUCCUUCUAAUGAGUAACACCUCCUUUGUAGAACAAAGGAACAAAAUGAUUCAGAGGUUCUCAUGUUUGCC
RNAcentral lists this long non-coding RNA (860 nucleotides) under Gallus gallus (chicken). RNAcentral describes it as "lncRNA (ENSGALG00010001076.1)". The record is from RNAcentral. Lineage: Eukaryota; Metazoa; Chordata; Aves; Galliformes; Phasianidae.